This 26-nucleotide non-coding RNA is filed under the name Rattus norvegicus (Norway rat). The record is from RNAcentral. Lineage: Eukaryota; Metazoa; Chordata; Mammalia; Rodentia; Muridae.
UGAGCACCUCGGUGAUCAAGCGCCAA